UGGUCUAUCCAUCUAUGUUUAAUUAAUUUUAAAUUAACUUUGUAAUACAGUGAUGUGUACACAUUUAUAUUGAUUAUAUUGUCUAUCAAUAUCUAAGCUAUAUAUUAUUGUGUGUACGUUAUAUCGGCUGUUAAGUCGUGACGUAACACCCUUUCAAAAUAAAACUUCCGGGUCCAACCGCUCCGUCGAACAUAAAAACAAACCACAAUGGCUGAACCAGUGAAUCUUUUUACGAUUACUUCUUUCUUCAGUGAGACACCUGAAAGAGUAAAGAAAGGGUUGAAUUCGUUUCACUCCAACAGAGUGGUCAGUGUAGCUGUUUCGCCUCGGGGAGUUAUCAAGGGUAGCGUCCGGUCCAGGCAUCACAGAAAAAGAAAGUUUACGAGGUUGAGGUUCAUGCUGAGGGACAGACAGUGAAGUACAGCAGCUGCCAGUGCCCGAUCGGUCGGGACAAGUGCCACCAUAUGGCGGCAGUGCUCAUAUGGGUGGAGAAAAAUGUGUCCCGCACCGACGUAGAGUGUGCUUGGAAGAGGGCGAAGACACCGAGCACCGACCAGAUAGCAGCAAAGAGAGUGUCUGAGAUGACACCAUCCACAACACAAGCUGGAAUCAAAAGGCCUGUUACUCAGGAAGACAAAGACUGGGUGCAAGCAACCCUGUCCCAGCUUGGACGUUUAACGGGAUUGGAUGGAUUCUGUGUCCAGAAACUCCUCGGGUAAGACUUAUGUGUUAGGUGGUUUGUUUAGGGAUGGAAUGAUACACUGAACUCACAAUUUAAUUCGAUUCGCGAUAUAGAGUUCACAAUCCAUAUGUCCACCUUACUGAAAGGUAAUUGUCUAGAAAGGAAUUAAAGUAUGUGCAUUCCUAAAACUGUUUACUUUACUUUGAAUCUAGACUCUCCCUAUCAAGACAUUUGAGGGGUUAGUGACCAACCCCGACUACGCUGAAGCUGAGGACAAGGCUCUUCAUUUGCUGUCAUCAUUUGUGGUCACCAAUAGGGAGAAGCAGCAGAUCGAAAGAGCCACUGUUGGGCAAGCAAAGAAUGCAUUAUGGUCAGCAUAUCGGCAAAAAAGGAUCACAGCAAGCAACUUUGGUUUGGUGUUGGCAGCAGUCAAGCGGAAGUCCUACCCUCCAUCCUUAUUUAAAACACUGCUUGGCCAGUACAACCUCAAACAAGGAUCGAAAGCAUGUGAUUGGGGAAUUCUCCAUGAGCCAAGAGCAAAGCAGCAGUAUACGGAGAGCACUGGUGUCGUUAUCCAGGAGAGCGGUUUGUUCCUUUCGGACAGUGGUAUGCUUGGUGGAUCUCCAGAUGGGGCAGUGUCUGACAACUGCAUUGUGGAAGUGAAAUGUCCAUGGUCAGCCAGAACAAAGACUAUCCGACAGGCAGCAGAGAGUAGGGACUUUUAUCUUUACUUGGACGAAGUAACUGAUACCCUGACACUAAAACCGACACAACUAUUGGCAUCAAAUCCAGGGCAACCUACAUCUGACUGGAACUAGCAGCUGUCACCUAAUUGUAUGGACUCCUUUGGAUCUUGUCAUCCUUCCCAUCCUCAAAGACCCAUUAUGGGUUAUCAACACUCUGGAGACAUUUUAUAAAGAGUGUUUCCUUCCAUAUGUUCUGUCAAGUCAACCAUCACAUAUAGAGCAAUGACGGGUUCAUUAAUGAUUUGUAGUUCUAAAUUUGUAUAGAGAUUAAUUAAUAAUUUGUAAAUAGUACGUACAUUUUAUCUACAUUUUCACUACUGAAGCUUAAUUUGAUGCUUAUGUACAGUUAUGAUAAAUUAAGUAACACAAUAUGUUUGACAAAUAAAAUGUUUAU
Long non-coding RNA from Gadus macrocephalus (Pacific cod), 1822 nucleotides. RefSeq lists it as uncharacterized. Lineage: Eukaryota; Metazoa; Chordata; Actinopteri; Gadiformes; Gadidae. The transcript is spliced from 5 exons. The record is from RefSeq and is a predicted model, not a curated record.